CUCUCUCUCUCUCUCUAUAUAUAUAUAUAUUUAUAUAUAUCCGCAGACUACAAAGCCCCCCUGCGGUAUCAAUUCUAAAAUCUCUCUCUCUCAGCAUCUCAAAUUUGAUGUAAGUUUUGAAAACCAAAUUCUCAUUACCAGUUGCUAGUAUUGGAUCAUUGUUCUAUUUUCCAAAACCACUCUCUUUAUAGUAAUCGAAAAAGAAGAAGUAAAAAGAAUUCCUCCAUGAAUAUUGCUUCGUUGCUUCCUUGAAACCAAUCCCUCUCUCUUUUUUGAACUGCCAUUCAUAGCUUAACAAAACAGACCUACGUAUGUGCCAAGUAAAGCAGUUCAGGAAAUUGGUUCAACUGUACUAUAUACCCCCAUGAGUCCAUGACGCUUCUACAUUCUUGCACACCAGCCCUACACACUUUGCCUCUGUUUUUCACUCAAAUUUUUGAUCUUUCCCACCAGAGAAACAAUACCCAGAUUCCAUACUCAGCUAUUGAGCUUAAAUGUCUAAGACUCCAUCAAAACCAGACCCUAACGCCAAUCCUGUCUUUGAACUUUUCAAGAAAUGUAAACGCUUUAAACACUUUAAGCUGUAUGCAGGUGUUCUCGGAUUCGUUUUCGCUAGUAUCUCUGUGAUUUGCUGCUUCUUCUACUUAGAUUACAGAGCUGUGGUCAUAAGGAUUCCAUUUCAAGCUCAGUCAGAGAGGUUCCUAUCUAAAGGGGACGCUGGUGAGGACCAAAGGGUUGAUUUUCUUUGAGAAAAGGGUGAAAGGUGUGAUGUAUUUGAAGGUGAUUGGAUGUGGAAUGAGAACUAUCCUAUUGAAUUGGAAAAUUUUAGCUCUUUAUAUUAUAGAUUUAUGUUGCUGUUGACGAAUUGUUUUAUUAAAUUUGCUAUAUAUGAUGAAAAAGCUUGCCCCUUUUUUUUCACCAUUGUUUUUCGAAGAUGUUUAAUUGAAUGGUACAGUGAAUUUUCCUCAUUGCCCAAGUAGAAAAGGAUUAUAUAUAGUAUGAAUUUGGUGUCAUCGAAAAGUUGUUUUAAUUUCCUAAUCAUUAAGAUCAUAGGCAUAGCUCCCCCAAAUAGAAACUAUUGUCUUUUGAUGUCACAAGAGUUGUGUUCUUUUAUGACUGAUCUUUAUAAUAUUUGACUGUAGCAUCAGUGUUUGGUACUAAUUUUCCAAGAUUUGAUUUUUUUAAACUUUAGCAAAGGGAUUGCUGAAUAGCAGUUUGUGUGUGUAUAACAGUGACAUUCUAGAUGAUUCUUGAUUAAGACAUAACAUCUUUUUUUUUAACUAUUGAUAUAUAUUGUUGUGAUUGAUACAUAAUAAAAAUAAUGUUAUCAAUACAUCUAUAUGUGAUAGUGAUGUUGCUCCAAUUACAAAAAUAUUUAAUUGUUGUGAAAUAUCGAAGUUGUAAAGAAUGUAGCUACUGUAAUAAUCUAAAUUUAUGAUCAAUGUUAUGUAAAAUCUCUUUUGUUUAUGUCAUGGGUUACAAUCAAAUACAAAAUAUGUGGCUACUUUCCUGAUUUCUUUGAGGUUGCUGCUAUAAAGGGAAAAGGUACAAGAGAUUGCUUUCUUAAAUUUUGUUAUGGAUCAUUUUGAAGUUUUUUCUUCCCUUUUGUCAAUGUUCAAUUGUAGUGUGAUUAGUUUAGGUGCGUUUUUUGGGUGUAUUCAUGCAAUAAAACAUUCUUUUGAUUCCCAUUUAGAAAGUGUACACCAUGUGUUUGACAAAAAGUCUCACUCAAAAUUGAAAAUUACCACUUAAAAUUGAAACUUAACAAAUAACACCGUUUGAAAUCCCAACCAUGAUAGUGGUAACUUUCUCCCAAAUUGUUUUGAGGGCUAUGAAUAGAUCAUAGUCAACUUGCUCAACUUUUUUCAAGCGGAAGGUUGUAGGUGAAGUUGAUUCUGUGGGGUCGAGGUGGAGGAUGCUCUUCUUGCUGUCUGUGGCUGUUCCAAAAUUUAGUUGGUCUAGCAGCAUGAUGUGAUGGAAUGUGCGUUCAACGACCAGCCUUCUUCUUUCAUUGAACUCAUGGAUUUGGCCUGGGAUAGGGACCAAAAAACAUGUGAACUCACUACCAUGCUAUCAUGGGUACUAUGGCAAUGAAGAAACAGGUUUAGGCCUAUAUUAUGUUGCAGUACUAGGGCUUUCAACAAGGAAGAAUCUCAACAAUUCAAGGAGUACAAGCAUUCCACUGAUCCUAAUCCUACUGGAGGUUAAUGGCAAAUUGUACUUAAACUAGCAGGUGCAAAAAGGAGGGGAUUUACUGGUAGUGCUUAUGCUUAUGAGGCUAGGAACAAACAAGGUGAAAUGGUGUUUUGGGGUAUCAGAAGCUGUGUUGCGAGCUCUGCUGCUGGGGAAGUAGAUGAAGCUCUGGUGGAAGCCUUGAUCCAGGCGAGGACCCUUGGUUUUCAGCAAGUUUUGGUACUCAACAACUGUAGGAAAUUAGUUCUACUCUUUAAUGGGUUUGCAAAGCCAGAUUGGAGGGAAAGAACAAUGAUGGCAGAUCUUAGUCACAUGCAACAAACUGGUUUAGUGUUUAAGCUGAUUUUUGUUCGUAAGGUUGUCCUAGAUAAUGCCUGGAAUUUAGCUAAGUUGGCUAUUGAUGUGCCAACUCACUUCUAUUGGCCUAAUAUGGUUCAGUUCAUAACUUAACUGUAUGUUUUUCUUUCUUUACUGGUAUAAAAAUUAUGCUUAA
This is an RNA transcript of Quercus lobata, 2686 nucleotides long. It is a transcript of the gene named protein trichome birefringence-like 11, with no coding region annotated. The record is from RefSeq and is a predicted model, not a curated record. NCBI's taxonomy places the organism in Eukaryota, Viridiplantae, Streptophyta, Magnoliopsida, Fagales, Fagaceae. The transcript is spliced from 2 exons.